GUUUGUUAAUAGAUACCGAGGGGAUGUCAGGGGUAAGUUUUUUUACACAGAUAGUGGUGGGUGCGUGGAAUGCACUGCCGGCUAUUUGUGUGAGGGUGUUUCAGUUACUGUGGGGCCAGGCACCCAUGCAGCUCAGUGGGAACAGGGAAUAAUACCAAUGGAGAGAGUCAAACUGAGCCAGGUCACAGACUGGAGAUGGCAGAAAUGCUCCAUUCUUAUAGAGACAGGAAGAGCAUCAGAGAGUUUGAUGGUCAUUACAGAUACCAGCACUGUGCCCAGUUAGAAGAUGAUUUCUCUUUCCAACUUGGGUUGAACCUCACUGUAACAGUGUGAUACCAGAUCACACCUUGGCAACUCAAGUGAUCUCAUCUGAAAUGUUGUUCUUCACUCAUUGAUCGAUUUUGUAAAUCUUUUUACAGAUUAAUAACGACAAGGAAUUUGUCUACUGGAAUCACGAACACAACACACCAGUUUUGCUGACUUCGUCCAGAUAUUUAAGAAGUAGGGCAAGGGAUUCACUCGAUCAUCCUUCCUGCUCAGACUGUGGGGAGGGACUCACUCGGUUAUCUGACCGACUGGUAUUCCCAUCAUUUUAUACAGGGGAACCCAUUCAUCUGCUCAGACAGUGGGAAUGGAUUCACUCGAUCAUUUCAACUGAAGGUACAUCAGCAAGUUCAACAAGGCCAUUCACCCGUUCUGUGUGUGAGAAGGGUUUCAGUUGGUCUCCCCACCUGUGGACACACCAGUCAGUUCACUUCGAACAGAGGCUGGUCAUCUGCUGAACUUGUGGGGAAGAAUUCACUCGGUUAUCUGACCUAAUGGGUCACCAGCGAGUUCACACCGGGGAGCAACAGUUCACCUGCUCAGAUUGUGGGAAAGGAUUCAUUCAGGCAUCUAAACUGAAGGUACAUCAGAGAGUUCACACUGGGGAGAGGCCGUUCACCUGCUCAGACUGCGGGAAGGGAUUCACUCAGUCAUCCCACCUCCAAGCACACCGGUCAGUUCACACUGGAGAGCGGCCAUUCACCUGCUCAGACUGUGGGAAAGGAUUCACUAAUUCAUCAGACCUACUGGUGCACAAGUCAGUUCACACCGGGGAGUGGCCGUUCACCUGCUCAGACUGUGGGAAGGGAGUCACUUGCUCAUCCCAACUAAAGAUACAUCAGAGACUUCACACUGGAGAGAGGCCGUUCACCUGCUCAGACUGUGAGAAAGGAUUCACUCGGUCAUCCGACCUACUGGUACACAAGUCACUUCACACAGGGGAGAGGCCGUUCACCUGCUCAGACUGUGGGAAAGGAUUCACUCGGUUAUCUAAACUGAAGGUGCAUCAGAGAGUUCACAAUGGAGAGAGGCCGUUCACCUGCUCAGACUGCGGGAAGGGAUUCAAUCGAUCAUCCCAAAUGCAAGCACACCGGUCAGUUCACACUGGGGAGAGGCCAUUCACCUGCUCAGACUGUGGGAAGGGAUUCACAUCGUCAUCUCAACUGAAGGUACAUCAGCAAUUUCACACUGGGGAGAGGCCGUUCACCUGCUCAGACUGUGGGAAGGGAUUCACUCGAUCAUCCCACCUACAAGCACACCGGUCAGUUCACACCGGGGAGUGGCCGUUCACCUGCUCAGACUGUGGGAAGGGAGUCACUUCCUCAUCCCAACUGAAGGUACAUCAGAGAGUUCACACUGGAGAGAGGCCGUUCACCUGCUCAGACUGUGCUAAAGGAUUCACUCGGUCAUCCGACCUAAUGGCACACCAGCGAGUUCACACCGGGGAGCGGCCGUUCACCUGCUUGGAUUGUGGGAAGGGAUACACUCGGUUAUCUAUACUUAAGGUACAUCAGAGAGUUCACACUGGAGAGAGGCCAUUCACCUGUUCAGACUGAAGGGAAGUGAUUCACUUGGUCAUCCCAACUGAAGGCACAUCAGAGAGUUCACACUGGAGAGAGACUAUUCACCUGCUCAGACUGUGGGAAAAGAUUCAGUCAUUUCAACUUAAGAUAUAUCAGCGAGUUCACACUGGAGAGAGGCCAUUCACCUGCUCAGACUGUGGGAAGGGAUACACUUGCUCAUCCCAUCUGAAGGUACAUCAGUGAGUUCACACUGGGUAGAGGCUGAUCACCUGCUCAGACUUUGGGAAGAGAUUCUCUUAGCCAAAUCAAUCAAAUGUGCAUCACUGAGAUCAUACUGGGGAGAGGCUGUUCACCUGCUGUGAAUGUGGUAAGCGAUUCACUCAGUCAUCUAACCUUAUGUAACUCUCGCUUCAGCUAGCAGCUUAAUAUAGGGGGUGGUAGCCCCCCCAGCCUGGCCAAGCUUAAGAAAUCUCGUUUGGGUGGAUGCUGCUCGAUGUGUCCCCUGUUACAAAUCAGUACCCCAAAAUAACAAAUGGUACACAAUAUGUGAUUAAACAAUUGAGCUUUAUAAUUCUUACUUUGACUAUAGGGUUAGUAAAGAAAACAAAAAAAAAAGAGAAAGGACCCACUCUCUCCAUUUGCGUCUUCUCAUCUCUCCCCAGCAAAAGACCAUGGAAAUCUCUCUUCCAGUCUCACAAGAAAGAACAGUUCUGUCAUUGGUGUUACAUCGCUCAUGGAUAUCUUGUGACUGUCUUUAGUAUUGGAGAGUGAAGGCUUUAUCGAAGUACAGGAUCUGAAAGAUUAAGAAAAGUUGGUAUCGAUCGGCAGUUUAAUAAAGGAUUGAUCUUAUUGAGUCUUCGUUGAAGAAGUAGCGACCUGCAUCAAAGGUAACUCCUGCCAAAAGAGCAAGGUAGUUCAUGUAGGAUUUGCUCGCCAGAAGAAAGGUCAGUUGCUUUAAGCCGUCUAUUUCCUUCGUCGUGAAUCCUUUGGACAGAACCAGAAGGAAAGUCUCAUCUAUGAAGAAAUUCUUCUUCAGAGAAGUCUCUCCCAAUUGACUGUAUAAAUCACUUGGAUUUUCGAAUUUACCAUUUUAAGAACCGUGUUUGAAUUUAUCGCUUUAAGAACUGUUUUCGCAUUUAUCGUUUUAAGAAAUACUACUUAGUGGUGGUUUGUUGAAGGGCUGCGUAACAGUUUACUUCCGGUUAAGGUUUUCAUUCUUUCCCCCAUUGUUCAUCGGUGUUUAAUAAAUGUUUGGUUGUUUUGAUAUAAUCUGCCUCAAUUGAUAUUCAUUACUGCCAGUUACGUAACAUUGGAUAGCACCGCAAUCCAAAACCCUGUUAUCUCUAUUCAUAACCUAAACAUUGCUGCUGCGGUGAAACCAUUACUUCAGCAGUGAAACAUUACAGAGAGGCCAUUAAAUGAGCGGUGAAACCUUACAGUGUGAUAUACUUGUGGCACACUGCUGGGUUCACACUGGGCAGAAAGUUUCAAUAAGCUGCAUGCUGGAUAUUUGUCCAUCACAGUUGCUCAAUGCAAUUUUGACAGUGACUGUCGGUGCUGAACUCUGCAAUUAUUGCUGCUGCUCACCACACUCAGUUCUGCACCCUGGUCACUGUGCAUGGGAGGAGUUUCUUCUGCUGCAUAUUCACCUUAAAGAGACUGGAGAUUACUAUUCCUGUAUCUGAGACAAAUAAAUCAGUUCUAUUUUAAACUCUGUCUCCAUUACUUAGUGAAUUUAUAACACAACUAGUGUACAGGAGAGAGUCAACUCAGGCCGGCUGUACCCUGCCAAUAAUUCUGUUCCACGACAGUCCUUUUAAAUCCUCCCCUGUUGUUCAUCUCUCACUCUCCCUGUGGUGAUGGGUUCCAAACAGUCACCACUCUGUGGGUGAAGAGGUUUCCCUUGAAUUCUCUGCAGACUGAAGAAGUCGAGCUGACUGUGGUUCUGUUUGGGAUGCUCUUCGUCCCUCUAAUCUCUGUGCUGAGAAGCAUGACAUUGGUAGUUAACCUCCUUAAUCACGACUCAUUUCCACGUUAUGGGUCAUUUUCCCUGCUUCUAAAGGGUUGUUAGAAAACACCACUCUCCUCUAAAGACUGAAAGCAGAAUGGGAAACCAUUAGUUGGAUGUUCAAUGGAGCAGGGUCAGAAACCAGAGGCGGGUCUGCACAGGGCAGAGUUUGGGGCUGUGGACGAUGGUCGGGGUAAGAACGUAUGAUGAGGAGAAGGGAAUCAGCAGCGGGAUGUGGCAAUGAAUGACAGAGUAGCAACACUUGGAAGCUGAUUGACAGAGAUUGUGUGACUGAUGACACAAACAACACCAGUGGUGAGGUGCUCCACUGGUCGAGGAACGUGUGUGUUGGGAAUGGUUUUUUCUAUUGUGGGGGUUGUUUCUGCUUGUUUAUCCUGUAAGAUUAUAUCCCCAUGGUUAUUAUGGAUUGUCCUAUCUGAAAUAGUGUAUUGAUUAUCAAAUAAUUUGUAAGAUUUUGACUCCAAAACUGGAUCAGGCUUGAAUUUAUGGAGUGAUGGAGGGCAUUCAUGAGUUUGUAUUUUAAAGCAAGAUUUUGGUCAAUGAUAUUUUCCACUUGAUUGUACUUCAUAAGUAAUCAAACUGAGUUAAACUGCUGCAGGAUCCCGGAAUAUGUUGGAUUGUGUCUGGUUUUUCUUGGCAUUUCAUGUAUUUUUGAUUUUUUUUUUUUGCCUUUUGUUAACCACCUUAUCCCAUAUUUCUGCAAGGAACCCCCCUGUUUCUGGGAGGAGGACUCCAACUCUCAGUCAGGUGCUCGAUGCUUCCUUGUCAACAUCUCAUCUGUUCAGAUCGUUGGGAUGUCUCCCAUGGAGGGUCAUACUCAUUCCACUGGUUAAUGUUUUCUUCCAUAGUGAUGUUUCAUUUUUUCUGAAUGGACCUCUCAUUUCAGUUUUCUGGUAUUUCUUAUCACAAUUGCAUAUACACACAUGGAGUGCUGAAUCCAGUUCAUUUUUGAUGAAAAUAUUUACUUAGAAGUUUAAUCUGACCGUUGUGUUUUUUUUUUCCACGUGUGUUAUUUCUAUUCCUCCUUCUGUUGAAGGUAGUGUUAAUCUAAGUGGGUUUAAGUGUAAAUAUGCUUUUCUAAAUUUCUUAUUUAUGUUUGUAAAUUUUAUGUAUUGAAAUGGGACUAAGAUAUUUUUAUUAAA
Mobula hypostoma (lesser devil ray) is the source of this 5018-nucleotide RNA transcript. It is a transcript of the gene named gastrula zinc finger protein xLCGF3.1-like, with no coding region annotated. The record is from RefSeq and is a predicted model, not a curated record. NCBI's taxonomy places the organism in Eukaryota, Metazoa, Chordata, Chondrichthyes, Myliobatiformes, Myliobatidae. The transcript is spliced from 2 exons.